AGAACGAACGCUGGCGGCACGCCUAACACAUGCAAGUCGAGCGCCCAGCAAUGGGAGCGGCGGACGGGUGAGUAACACGUGGGAACAUGCCUUUCGGUACGGAACAACUGCGGGAAACUGCAGCUAAUGCCGUAUACGCCCUUACGGGGAAAGAUUUAUCGCCGAAAGAUUGGCCCGCGUCUGAUUAGCUAGUUGGUGAGGUAACGGCUCACCAAGGCUUCGAUCAGUAGCUGGUUUGAGAGAACGACCAGCCACAUUGGGACUGAGACACGGCCCAAACUCCUACGGGAGGCAGCAGUGGGGAAUCUUGGACAAUGGGGGAAACCCUGAUCCAGCGAUGCCGCGUGAGUGAUGAAGGCCUUCGGGUUGUAAAACUCUUUCGACGGGACGAUAAUGACGGUACCCGUAGAAGAAGCUCCGGCUAACUUCGUGCCAGCAGCCGC
Molecule: ribosomal RNA, 443 nt
Filed under: uncultured bacterium
Lineage: Bacteria
Description: SSU rRNA
Rfam family: Bacterial small subunit ribosomal RNA
Source: RNAcentral